This 253-nucleotide ribosomal RNA is filed under the name uncultured bacterium. RNAcentral's name for it is "partial 16S ribosomal RNA". It matches the Rfam family "Bacterial small subunit ribosomal RNA", at positions 524 to 776 of the family's 1533-position model. The record is from RNAcentral.
UACAGAGGUCCCAAGCGUUGUUCGGAUUCACUGGGCGUAAAGGGUGCGUAGGCGGUCGGGUAUGUCUGAUGUGAAAUCUCACAGCUUAACUGUGAAACUGCAUUGGAUACUAUCCGGCUCGAGGAAUGGAGGGGAGACUGGAAUACUUGGUGUAGCAGUGAAAUGCGUAGAUAUCAAGUGGAACACCAGUGGCGAAGGCGAGUCUCUGGACAUUUCCUGACGCUGAGAGACGAAAGCUAGGGGAGCGAAUGGG